Molecule: ribosomal RNA, 460 nt
Filed under: uncultured bacterium
Lineage: Bacteria
Description: partial 16S ribosomal RNA
Rfam family: Bacterial small subunit ribosomal RNA
Source: RNAcentral
CCUACGGGAGGCAGCAGUGAGGAAUAUUGGUCAAUGGGCGCUAGCCUGAACCAGCCAAGUAGCGUGAAGGAUGACUGCCCUAUGGGUUGUAAACUUCUUUUAUAUGGGAAUAAAGUGCAGUAUGUAUACUGCUUUGCAUGUACCUUAUGAAUAAGGAUCGGCUAACUCCGUGCCAGCAGCCGCGGUAAUACGGAGGAUCCGAGCGUUAUCCGGAUUUAUUGGGUUUAAAGGGAGCGUAGGUGGGUUGUUAAGUCAGUUGUGAAAGUUUGCGGCUCAACCGUAAAAUUGCAGUUGAUACUGGCAGCCUUGAGUACAGUAGAGGUAGGCGGAAUUCGUGGUGUAGCGGUGAAAUGCUUAGAUAUCACGAAGAACUCCGAUUGCGAAGGCAGCCUGCUGGACUGUAACUGACGCUGAUGCUCGAAAGUGUGGGUAUCAAACAGGAUUAGAUACCCCGGUAGUC